Molecule: long non-coding RNA, 691 nt
Filed under: Felis catus (domestic cat)
Lineage: Eukaryota; Metazoa; Chordata; Mammalia; Carnivora; Felidae
Description: lncRNA (ENSFCAG00000049654.1)
Source: RNAcentral
AUGUUUUCUUUUUUCUUUUUUUGUGAUAUACCCAAGACCCACCUUGGACUCAAGGGACACAAAUUUGGUCUUCUUCAGGUCUGUACAGAAGCUGGAGAUGUCCUGGGCCACCUGGAUGCAUGGAGACAUUGGAGAAAACAGAACCAUGAGAGUAGCGAGAAUUUCAGCCUGAGUAAAAGGUCAGCAGCACACCAGGUUUCUGAAGGUGAAAUCAUGUGGAACAUUGGGCUGGACUCCAUUUUGGACAACCAAAAUGUGGAAUUCUGGCAUAGAUGAAGUACAUGGAAAUCAAGAAAAUGGAUGCCAGAAAUAAGACUCAUCAACGCACUGAGUGUGGCCCAAGAUUUUUGCCUGCCUCCUACCCACUCAGCAAGGAGCCACAGUGAGUUUGUGGUAAUACUAGCUAUCCAUGUGUCUUCCAUGAGCAUUUGCAAAAUGAUGAUAAAUUACCCAAACUGUGGCAAAGUCUCUGUACCUAUUGCAAGACCUAGGGGUAGGAAUGUGCGUUAGCUAAAGCAAUCCAUAACAAUUUUGAAGUUACUGGCACAUGUUAAGAAACAGAGUAUCUUGAUCCUUCUGAGAAAAUUUUGCAAAUGUUCUGCUAUAAUUGUAUGUAAAUCUGAGACUUGGCAUCAGCAUAUUUCCUCUUAGCAAAUGUGUCUGAAUAAAUUGAUCCACCUUGUCUAAGACA